UGUGGAGACCCAGCUCUACCUUGUGCUCCAGGCUGGAGUCUUUAAACAUCAGUGAGAAUGGCUUGAUAUGCUCUCUUCUCAAUUUAUCGCCACUCCGCAAGUCGAUGGUAAAAAAUGCAAGCAACUUGCAGCCUCCCACCAUUUCACAGGGUUACACAGCACGAGACGGGGAAAGGCAUAACCACCACGGCUGGUCACUGGAUAUGGAUACAUGGAUGCAGAAACUGCAUUGGCUUACGAAGACACACCAGCCUCUCAGCUUGGCUAUGUUUAGAACACAGGCUAGAUGAAGAUAAGAUUAUGGAGUCAUCAAAUGGCAGCCUGUGAGAGGUGACAUAGGACCUUGCAGAUCCUCUUGCCAAACCUUCAGAUAUCGAUGAGCCUCAGAGAGACUUGCUCAUUUGCCGCCAAGCCAGAUCUGCUGACUCCAGGACCACAGCUGGAGUCAGGAGCUUUGACCUCUGUGAAGCCAUCCAGCCCACCCCAUAAGGAUUCUCCCUAUGGUGUUAUUGAACCCUUCAUUUUAACCUUCAUGAAGCUGGUGUUUUAGGUAUUUGGGAAGUCAGUUGGAGCAGCAGAAAUGGCAGAGUUUGCAGCUGAGAUGGCCUCUCAUGACUGAGUUUUUUCCCAAAAUGAUGUUGAAUUCCCUAGAUUUAUCCUAAUGGAGAUUCGUGCUCUCCUCAGGUAUUUCCAUAAAUGUUUCCUCCCUCACAGGUGCUUGAGAUAGAUCAAAGUGCAAAUGAGAACCAGAGUUCCUUCUGAACUGAGUCUCUGAUGAUAGGAUCUUGCUUGACAGUUUGGGGGUUCUGGUGAAAAUUAUAAUGAGAGGGUCAGGUAGCCCUUUGUAAAUUGCAUUUGAAUGGGCUGGGGGAAGUCACAAAUCCUCUUAAGCUCAUCAUUUGGUUUAUGAUCAGAAGACUCUUCUUUAGGACUUGUCUUUUAUCUGUGUUCCCAGUAAAAUCCUACUUUUCUUGCAGAUCCUAUCACUUCAUGGAUUGUCAUAAAAUUUGGUAUUCAUUAAUCAGUUUGUCACAGCAAAUAAUUCUUCCCAGCAAGACUGCAGGCUGAAGGUGUACUGUCUAGAAACAUCCAGUUUUGUUGAGUCAAAACCAUUUCAGGUCUUAGGGAUCAUACGCUCAAAUCUCAAAAGACCCUUUAAAGCAUCCUUACAGACACUGCAAAUCAGCUUACAUAGUUACAGCACUGGAGUGAUCUAUUUCGUUGUUAGAUCCUCCUAAUUCACUCUUUCUCAAAAAUGUGUUUCAAGAAGCACAAGAAUGAUGAGAUGUUUCAUUACAAAGUGGUUCUGUGGACCAAUCAGUUUAGAAAAUGUAGAUCCAUUAUUUGUUUACUGCCAUUUCUCCUUACCUUAAUUUUGUCUCUUUUGUUCAUGUCUUUGUCCCCAGGGCCUAUGACAAUGCCUGAUACUUUGUAGUCACUUAAGUACUUUGUAACCACAAUAAAUGUGUUUACUGAAUGAAAAAUUUCUUAUAUCUUCCUAUCUCAAUACACUUUAUUGAGAUAAAGGCACUGAUAAGUUCCACAGAAAUAAGACUUUUAAACUCUGCAUCUUCCAAACUUUUUUGACCACAAAUCCCCCUUUUCUUGAAUUGCCUCUAUAUGUUUCAUGGAAUGCUAUUUGGGAAACAGUGCUUUAAAGUUCUUCCCUGCUUUUAUUCAGAAUUUCCACACACUAGACCUGUUUCCGAUUUCUGAACAAGAUCUACAUCCAUCUCCCUUCAUGUGGCUGCUUUCCAGUGUCCUUAGCUUUCUUCACCAGGCACAUGAAAUGUAUUUCCCCAGUUGUUCCAUAGGUGAUAUAGUUUCUACAUAUUGCAUAAUUCUUCUUAGUUUGUCCUUGCCUUGUGGGCACUACUUCACAGAGUAUCAGACCCAGUGCACGUGGCAUCUGACCUUGUGGUGGAACAUGGACACCUAACAUAAUCUGACCUAUUAAGUAAUUACUCAUUUUAUGCAUUGAAACAUGUAGCAUCUAGGCAUGUAUCCUACUGCUACUAUAAAAAACAAAUAAGACAUCACCUCCUCCAGUAAGCCUACUCUGAGGCUGCAAUUGUCCUUAUCACCAUUACUAUGAUUCAUUGUAA
RNAcentral lists this long non-coding RNA (2105 nucleotides) under Homo sapiens (human). RNAcentral describes it as "HSALNT0350256". Lineage: Eukaryota; Metazoa; Chordata; Mammalia; Primates; Hominidae. The record is from RNAcentral.